ACAUCCUUAUGUGUCGCCGGUCCCGCGCGAGCGGGUCAAAAGGGAACACCGUGCGCCCCGGCCGGACCCAACGUCCGGGGGCAAGUCGGUGGCUGCCCCCGCAACUGUCAGCGGCCAGCGGCCGAUCCGUUCGCCCCCCAGGGCGAGCCACUGGACCCCAGGUCCGGGAAGGCAGGACCGGUCGCGCCCACGCCGCAAGCCAGGAGACCUGCCGGCGUCGCACCCACCGU
Molecule: non-coding RNA, 230 nt
Filed under: Rhodospirillales bacterium
Lineage: Bacteria; Pseudomonadati; Pseudomonadota; Alphaproteobacteria; Rhodospirillales
Source: RNAcentral